RNAcentral lists this ribosomal RNA (253 nucleotides) under uncultured bacterium. RNAcentral describes it as "partial 16S ribosomal RNA". It matches the Rfam family "Bacterial small subunit ribosomal RNA", at positions 524 to 776 of the family's 1533-position model. The record is from RNAcentral.
UACGAAGGGGGCUAGCGUUGCUCGGAAUGACUGGGCGUAAAGGGCGCGUAGGCGGAUGGUACAGUCAGAUGUGAAAUUCCCGGGCUUAACCUGGGGGCUGCAUUUGAUACGUGUUGUCUAGAGUGAGGAAGAGGGUCGUGGAAUUCCCAGUGUAGAGGUGAAAUUCGUAGAUAUUGGGAAGAACACCGGUGGCGAAGGCGGCGACCUGGUCCUUUACUGACGCUGAGGCGCGAAAGCGUGGGGAGCAAACAGG